AGCGAACGCUGGCGGCAGGCCUAACACAUGCAAGUCGAACGAACCUUUCGGUGUUAGUGGCGGACGGGUGAGUAACACGUGGGAACGUGCCUUUAGGUUCGGAAUAACUCAGGGAAACUUGUGCUAAUACCGAAUGUGCCCUUCGGGGGAAAGAUUUAUCGCCUUUAGAGCGGCCCGCGUCUGAUUAGCUAGUUGGUUGAGGUAAUGGCUCACCAAGGCGACGAUCAGUAGCUGGUCUGAGAGGAUGAUCAGCCACAUUGGGACUGAGACACGGCCCAAACUCCUACGGGAGGCAGCAGUGGGGAAUCUUGCGCAAUGGGCGAAAGCCUGACGCAGCCAUGCCGCGUGAAUGAUGAAGGUCUUAGGAUUGUAAAAUUCUUUCACCGGGGACGAUAAUGACGGUACCCGGAGAAGAAGCCCCGGCUAACUUCGUG
Molecule: ribosomal RNA, 434 nt
Filed under: uncultured bacterium
Lineage: Bacteria
Description: partial 16S ribosomal RNA
Rfam family: Bacterial small subunit ribosomal RNA
Source: RNAcentral